UGUUCCGAUGCUUCGUGAUGACCGUCUGCCCCACAGAGAUGCCCUUCUCGCCAGCCUUGGACUUCUAACAGAAGAGGUACACAAAGAUGAGAGAAAAGAAACAGGAGAAAGGGAAAAGGAGAAAUAGCCAUAGGAACAAUGGAAGAAGAACCAGCCAACAGCUUUCUACCACCCCUCAUGACAGCAGAAGCACAGAAUUUGCCUGGCCAUCGCACCAGUGUUAAAAUCUUUCCAUUGUUAAUCAAGAAAAUGAACAUCCAUCUAUCAACCUAUCUAGUUUUACUUAAGUGCAUCUCUGUGCCAAGCACUGUGCUUGAAAAAGAUAUGUGGGGUUCCUGUGGAGGCGGAAGGGAUGGGAAAAAACUGAGAGGUUCUGUAGCAGGAACCCUUUCUUUCCCCCCCCAUGUUCUCUCAAAUAUCACCUGAAGGUAAUCUCUGUGGUCCCUAUAGCCUUGGCAAAAAUUACUUCUCAGUAUCUAGUAAGGACACCAGUCUUUACUCCAAACACAUGAUAAAGAUAUAUAAUAACAGAUUUGAAGGUACAAUUAAAAGGUGUUGAAUAUAA
This is a long non-coding RNA of Neofelis nebulosa (Clouded leopard), 565 nucleotides long. RefSeq lists it as uncharacterized. Lineage: Eukaryota; Metazoa; Chordata; Mammalia; Carnivora; Felidae. The record is from RefSeq and is a predicted model, not a curated record. The transcript has 2 exons.